RNAcentral lists this transfer RNA (74 nucleotides) under Asanoa ishikariensis. RNAcentral describes it as "tRNA-Lys". It matches the Rfam family "tRNA". Rfam says of the family: Transfer RNA (tRNA) molecules are approximately 80 nucleotides in length. Lineage: Bacteria; Bacillati; Actinomycetota; Actinomycetes; Micromonosporales; Micromonosporaceae. The record is from RNAcentral.
GCGCCGUUAGCUCAGCUGGUAGAGCAGUGGCCUCUUAAGCCAACGGUCGGGGGUUCGAGUCCUUCACGGCGCAC